UACGUAGGGGGCAAGCGUUGUCCGGAAUCAUUGGGCGUAAAGCGCGUGUAGGCGGCUUGGUCAGUCUGCUCUGAAAGCCCGGGGCUCAACCCUGGGAGGCGGGUGGAUACUGCUGAGCUCGAGUCCGGAAGAGGCGAGUGGAAUUCCUGGUGUAGCGGUGAAAUGCUCAGAUAUCAGGAGGAACACCAAUGGCGAAGGCAGCUCGCUGGGACGGUACUGACGCUGAGACGCGAAAGCGUGGGGAGCAAACAGG
RNAcentral lists this ribosomal RNA (253 nucleotides) under uncultured bacterium. RNAcentral describes it as "partial 16S ribosomal RNA". It matches the Rfam family "Bacterial small subunit ribosomal RNA", at positions 524 to 776 of the family's 1533-position model. The record is from RNAcentral.